UUGUACUCUUUGUUUUUUUUUGUUUUUUUGUUUUUUCACAUUCUUGUUUCAGCUGACACAGAAACAUGUGGGAAACAGCUCUGGCGGGUUAUUAUCUGACAGCAGACCUCUGCACAGAAAGUGUUUAAAAGAACAGCCAAGCAGGAAAAUGUAAAACAGACUCUAUCUUUAAUGAUGGAUUACAUGACAGUGCUGUGAAAGAAAAAAACAAAACACUGGUGUUUGGCCUGGAGAGGAUGUUUCUGGUUUAUAAGAGCUCGGAUUAUUUAUUUUUUCUAGGUUUGCUCAUCAUUUCUCUACGUUUCUGUCGCUGUAACUCUUUGUGAUUUACGAGGAGUGUUGCGUUUACACCGCUGGCACUGCAGUUUUGGAUAGCUCAGAUGAGUUUUUCAGGAUCCGGUGCUAAAAAAAAUGAGCUGGCAACGAAAAAUCGGACUACGGACGUCGCGGCAGAGGUGAUGAGGCCGAAGUGAGAGCUAAGAAGAGAGAAAGAGAUGAGAUAAGAGGCAAGAGCAAGUUAUAAUCACUGCUACUUCCUCCACUGAUGCUCCGCUGCGUUAUCCUCCCAUCGUCUCAUCUCCAGUCGCUCACCGGAGGUUUUUCUCCAUCUCUGCCCUCCUGACCCCUCACCUGCUCAUGCUGACUCGAGGUGUUCACUUACCCUCCUCGCUUUGCUCCCUUCUCCUUUUCUGCCAAGUACCACUGAUACGCACAAACACACACCUGCAGCCAACAAUAGAGGCCUUAUUCAGGGUGGGCACGCCGCUGAUCCAGCCGGCGCUCUAUCAACGACUGUGAUCUGGACAUGGGCGGCUGCCCUGCAAAAGACCACAGCGCUGCUGAGAGUUACUUAAAAGUACUUCAGUCGGAGCAGCACGUGAGGUUUUUCUGCUUUCAUCUGCAGCUUUAGUGUCACGGCUUCACUGCGCUUACUUCAGAGAUGGCUGAAGUAAAAAGGCUGAGCCGAGCAGUUUAUGAUAUAACCGUCUACUGUCAUUAUAUUUUGGACGCGAGAGCCAGAUUUAACCACGUCUAAAUCCUGUGUGUUCUCCCUUCCGGUGCAGCUCGGCCUCAGACAUAACACAACAUCCCCGUGGCUAUGACAUCACUGUCUAAAUAACAUGCUUGUUAGGAAUCUCCCUUGAUGUCUGAUGCUGCACAGAGGGAUGAAAGCGAGCGAAUGAAAGAGAGGGCAAAAGCCAUCAGAUGCGUCUUCAUGAGCAGCCUUUUGGCUUCAAAGGCAAAACCUCAGGCGCUGUGACAGAGAAACAACAGCCGGUGACGUCACGCGGGGCAGGGCAAGGGACAUUUACCCGGACCCCUCCGCCGCUCCGGAGCGGCUCUCCGAGCACAAAGGGAGGGGAAAAAGCGAAGAUGCAGAAGAGGGUUGAGGUUUAAUGAGGGAGAAGAGGGAAAAACAGAGAGCACGAGGGUUCAAGGGGGUCGCUGUGUGCACACAUCAGGGCGGCAGGCGAGAUCAGUGCGGCGGGGAACGCUCCCGUGUUUGGGAGAGGAGGGAAAGAUAAAUAAGCCAGGACGGCUGCACAAAGAGAGGCGAGGAGGAAACGGGAAUGUUGAGAUUCCAAAAGGGAAAAUCUGUCUCUCUCUCACAAACACACACACACACACAUACACACACACACACACACACACAAGUUCAGAUGGAGUGAAGUGGUAAACAGACGUGUGUGUGUGUGUGUGUGUGUGUGUGUGUGUCUUGUAACCAUGGAACACGAGUUUUAGAAGUUUGUUAUGUAUUUGUUUUCAAAAUGACAAGCUUUCACAACAACUCUUCCACUGCUGCGUGCCAGUAGAGAGCGUAUGUUUUACAUCAUGACUCCGCUGCCUCCGAGUCAGAAAAAUUCAGCUCACAGCAAAUGAUCCGGCCUUGACUGUAUGUCUCCAUUUUGUUGCCUUCUAGGUGAUAGUUUCUGAUCUAAAUCCACUUGUUUCUGCCGUCAUUGUGUCCUUGUGUUUCCAACAAUUCCUUGUAACAUGCCCUGAGAUUGGGACGUUGAUUUUGUAAUACUUGCUAAAGUCCUACCAAAUAUCACUCCUAGAUAUUUUAUUUGUUGCUUUGAUGAAAACAUCCUAAUUUGGUGUUUUCUAAAACUAAAUGGACCCGGGAAACUUAAAUCACUAUUACACUAUUUUCAUGUGAAACAAUCAGAGAAACUAUCCUAAACUUGAGAUUUAUUUAUCAGCUUUUCACGGGAGUUUGUAUGCCAAAGCCACCAGGAAAUCACAGUACUGAUAAAAUGCACCAAUCAAACACAGGAUAAGAAAAGGCCUGUAAACAAGGUUAGAACUCAAAGCACCUGCGUACGACUGGCCAAUCACAGUGUGAGGUGAGGGUGAAUGUUGGAUUAUCAUUUGUCUGGAAAAGUCACAGAAACUGUUGGGCGAUUCAGGAGGUGAAGAGUGUGGGGGUGGAGUCAGGGGCGAGGAGACAACAUAGCUGAGACAUAGUUUUGUAAUGAAGAAUAGCACCAGAAUACCUGUGUGACUUCUAUUGAUCCAUCUUUCAAUAUUUGUCAGUAUGAAAUCGCCGGCUAUUUUUUGGGGGGUCCACAGUGUUGUAACAUUUGUCAGCCACCUCAAGCCCUGUUUGUCGUUACCACAACAGGUAUUUUAAGCCCAAACAGGAUCUUUUCCUAACCCUAACCAAGUGUUUUUUAUUUGUGCUUAAACCUAACCAGAUCAUAAACACAACACAAAAUAAAAACAAUUGUUCUAAAGAGACAUAAAGUGGCAACAUCAAGAAAAUGCAAAGCUUUGACAUUGUUUCAUCAGUUCCAGUGACCAGUCAUGAGUCGUCCUGCCCGUCAUCCAUAUUUUCAGUUUUCUUUAUGAUCCAAUAUCUUCCCUCUGUGCACAAACACCCAACAUCCAUCCACGCGUGACUCAAAACUGAACAUUACUCUCUAUCGUCUAAACCACCAAAAGUGUAAACCUGCACCUGCAGACUGCCCCCUUUUCCCUUUUCAGCUGGGAGCCAGGGAGUAAAGGGAGGAUAUUGGCACCGCACAAUGGCCGUAAAAAUCCAAAGCAUCCCAAACAAACUUCAUCACUCCCCUGCUGGCCUGUCCUCCCCUCUGAUCUCUCUCCGCUUUCAUCCUCCUCUGGUAAGGCCCCCUCUUCCUCUCGCUCUCCGUUGUCCCCAUUCUUGCUCCUUUUCGUCUCUAGGCAACACGGCAAUGGAGGUCUGAGCGCAGGGAGCGAGCGAGAGACAGACAGAGAGAUAGUGAGCUGCUCUUGAAACUUCGGAGACAGCUAUGCCAGGAAUGCAGGUGCCUGCUGUGAGUACAACAAAGUGAGGAGGACCUCCGUAGGAGCGCAGCGUGGGCAAGCAGCACGUCGGUGCGAGGGAGCCCGGCCCACAUUUCAGCCCCGCUCGCCUGCUUCUCAUGCACAGCAGGCUGCUGCAAGUUGGGUUUCAAAAAGGUGUGUUUGUCACCGCGCGAGGCUCCUCAAGACACCGUGUGACGGCAGGAAAUUCUUUCUGUGUCUCUGCCGUCGACAUGUCUCUCUUCUCCCUCGCUCCCUUCUAGUCUGUGUUUUAUUCAGCCGAAACAGAGAAGCCACAUCACAGGGAGACCAGAGGAGUAUGAGAAGAGAAGAGAAGAAGAGAAGAGAAGAGAAGUUUCAAACAAAGUGUAGGAGAGAGCUUGAGAGAGUGUGUGAUGUGGCUGAGUAAAAGGACACAGAUGACAGAGAAUACUUGAAAAAAAGAACAUUAUUUAGUGGUGUUGUGUGUGUGUGUGUGUGUGUGUGUGUGUGUGUGUGUGUGUGUGUUUGUGUGUGCGCGCCCAUCGAUCUGUAUCUCUGAAGUGCAUGAAAGGCGUAUUGACCUGUGUGUGUUUUCUUGUGUGUCGUAUAUGUGAAACAUGGCCAUAUACAGAUACGUGCAUGAAAGCGUUUCUCUUUCUGUAUGUGUCAGAGCACUGCACAAAUGUGUGUAGUUGUGUGUGUGUGGGGGGGGGGGGCAGCUGCCCAUAUGUUUGAUGGAGUCCUGGGGCCCUGUGGCCCUCGCAGCCAGCGACUGAUGUGAUUUAGUGGUGCAGGUCAAAGGUCAAGAGCCCCUACUCUCCAUCUGCGCCUGAAGAAAAGGCCAUCGGGAAGGGAUUAGACUGGAGUCAAUGGUCCUGGUGACAUGUCUGCCACCAGUUCACUUCACACGCAAACACAGUCAAAAGAACAUCAGUGUUUAGACUGUUGGUAUACAUCUCAUUCAUCCAAAAUGCAGACCUAAUUAACCUGUUAGGCCACAGACUAAAGACAAUGAUAGCUUGCAUUUACCCAAAAGUUGCAUUUAGCCUUAAAGUCGAAAUGAGAUGUCACUGCUGGGAAGAUUAAAGGCCCAAAAAUGCAGUGGGUCCACCAGACCCACGUACACUGGCUGAGUAACCAAAAUAUGAACACCACACAAGGGUUAAGUGAAUCAAAGACACA
Acanthopagrus latus (yellowfin seabream) is the source of this 4452-nucleotide long non-coding RNA. RefSeq lists it as uncharacterized. NCBI's taxonomy places the organism in Eukaryota, Metazoa, Chordata, Actinopteri, Spariformes, Sparidae. The transcript is spliced from 3 exons. The record is from RefSeq and is a predicted model, not a curated record.